GAUGAACGCUGGCGGCGUGCUUAAUACAUGCAAGUCGAGCGAACGGACGCGUCGCUUGACUCGCUGAUGUAAGCGGCGGAUGGGAGAGUAAUAAGUGGCUAACCUACCUAUAAGACUGGGAUAACAUCGGGACAACGUCCCUAAUACAGGACACUAUUUUUAACCGCAUGGUUCAAAAGUGAAAGAUGGUCUUGCUGUCCCCUAUCGAUCGAUUCGCGCUGCGUUAGCUAGGUGGUAAGGUCAAGGAUUAGCAAGGCAGCUAUGCAUAGCCGAACUGGGAGGGUGGUCGGCGACACUGGAACGGGAACACGGACCAGACUCCUACGAGAGGCAGCAGUAGGGAAUCUUCCGCAGUGGUCGGGAGCCUGGCAGAGCGACGCCGCGUGAGUGAUGGAGGUCUUCGGAGCGUGAAACUCGGUUAUGAGUGGAGAACAUAUGUGAAAGGAACUGAGCACAUCUUGACGGUACCUAGUCAGAAAGCCACGGCUAACUACGUG
This 497-nucleotide ribosomal RNA is filed under the name uncultured bacterium. RNAcentral describes it as "partial 16S ribosomal RNA". It matches the Rfam family "Bacterial small subunit ribosomal RNA", at positions 28 to 507 of the family's 1533-position model. The record is from RNAcentral.